RNAcentral lists this ribosomal RNA (368 nucleotides) under unidentified archaeon. Its description in RNAcentral is "bacterial SSU rRNA". It matches the Rfam family "Archaeal small subunit ribosomal RNA", at positions 90 to 462 of the family's 1478-position model. The record is from RNAcentral.
UCAGUAACACGUAGUCAACAUGCCCAGGGGACGUGGAUAACCUCGGGAAACUGAGGAUAAACCGCGAUAAGUCACUACUUCUGGAAUGGGUAAUGACUUAAAUCUAUAUGGCCCCUGGAUUGGACUGCGGCCGAUCAGGCUGUUGGUGAGGUAAUGGCCACCAAACCUGUAACCGGUACGGGCUCUGAGAGGAGGAGCCCGGAGAUGGGCACUGAGACAAGGGCCCAGGCCCUAUGGGGCGCAGCAGGCGCGAAACUCUGCAAUAGGCGAAAGCCUGACAGGGUUACUCUGAGUGAUUUCCGUUAAGGAGAUCUUUUGGCACCUCUAAAAAUGGUGCAGAAUAAGGGGUGGGCCAGUCUGGUGCCAGC